RNAcentral lists this ribosomal RNA (253 nucleotides) under uncultured bacterium. Its description in RNAcentral is "partial 16S ribosomal RNA". It matches the Rfam family "Bacterial small subunit ribosomal RNA", at positions 524 to 776 of the family's 1533-position model. The record is from RNAcentral.
UACGUAGGGUGCGGGCGUUAAUCGGAAUUACUGGGCGUAAAGCGUGCGCAGGCGGUUUGCUAAGACAGGUGUGAAAUCCCCGGGCUUAACCUGGGAACUGCGCUUGUAACUGGCAAGCUGGAGUGUGGCAGAGGGGGGUGGAAUUCCACGUGUAGCAGUGAAAUGCGUAGAGAUGUGGAGGAACACCGAUGGCGAAGGCAGCCCCCUGGGCUAACACUGACGCUCAUGCACGAAAGCGUGGGGAGCAAACAGG